UACCGCAUAAGAUCCGCAAGGAUGAGAGCCGUAAGGCGCUGAUGGAGGGGCCCGCGCACGAUUAGCUAGUUGGUGAGGUAAUGGCUCACCAAGGCUAUGAUCGUUAGCUGGUCUGAGAGGAUGGCCAGCCACACUGGAACUGAGAGCGCGGUCCAGACUCCUACGGGAGGCAGCAGUGGGGAAUCUUGCACAAUGGGCGAAAGCCUGAUGCAGCGACGCCGCGUGGGGGAUGAAGCUUCUCGGAGUGUAAACCCCUUUCGACCCGGACGAAUACCUCGCAAGAGGGGUGACGGUACGGGUAUAAGAAGCCCCGGCUAACUACGUGCCAGCAGCCGCGGUAAGACGUAGGGGGCCAGCGCUGUUCGGAAUUACUGGGUGUAAAGGGUUCGUAGGCGGUGUGGCAAGUCGGGAGUGAAAUUUCUGGGCUCAACUCAGAGACUGGUUCCGAAAUUGCUGUGCUGGAGUGUGGGAGAGGCGCGUGGAAUU
RNAcentral lists this ribosomal RNA (486 nucleotides) under uncultured Vibrio sp. Its description in RNAcentral is "bacterial SSU rRNA". It matches the Rfam family "Bacterial small subunit ribosomal RNA", at positions 167 to 668 of the family's 1533-position model. Lineage: Bacteria; Pseudomonadati; Pseudomonadota; Gammaproteobacteria; Vibrionales; Vibrionaceae. The record is from RNAcentral.